CUUAUAUAAAUAUAUAUUAUUUCAUUCGGUAAAAUAAAAUUUAUUUUAUUAAUCUUACGACGAAUUAAUUUAUGUCUUCGAAAGAUAAAUAAAAGAAAGUUUACACAUCGAUGUUCUUAUCGAUUCAAUUUUAGAUGAUAUAAAAGGAAAAGAAUGAGGAAUAGAAAGAGGAUGUUAGAGCACGGAUGAGUCGAAGAAGAGUCUGACCACAUAUAGAAGAAAAGAUAUUGGCUAUAUGCAUGAAUACAGUGUGUCUUCUUUGAGACAAGGCAAACAAUCAACGAUGACAAACAAUCAUAAAGGGAAUAAGAAUUCAAUUUUCUUCAGACUUCAGCCAGAAUUGAAGAUUUUUGAUGAAGAUGACGAAGGAUAAAGAUCAAUUAUCAUUUCAUUGGAACUUCGAAGACAAGAUGGCUUGAAAAAUAUGAUAUAAAAGGAAAAGAAUGAGGAAUAGAAAGAGGAUGUUAGAGCACGGAUGAGUCGAAGAAGAGUCUGACCACAUAUAGAAGAAAAGAUAUUGGCUAUAUGCAUGAAUACAGUGUGUCUUCUUUGAGACAAGGCAAACAAUCAACGAUGACAAACAAUCAUAAAGGGAAUAAGAAUUCAAUUUUCUUCAGACUUCAGCCAGAAUUGAAGAUUUUUGAUGAAGAUGACGAAGGAUAAAGAUCAAUUAUCAUUUCAUUGGAACUUCGAAGACAAGAUGGCUUGAAAAAUAUGAUAUAAAAGGAAAAGAAUGAGGAAUAGAAAGAGGAUGUUAGAGCACGGAUGAGUCGAAGAAGAGUCUGACCACAUAUAGAAGAAAAGAUAUUGGCUAUAUGCAUGAAUACAGUGUGUCUUCUUUGAGACAAGGCAAACAAUCAACGAUGACAAACAAUCAUAAAGGGAAUAAGAAUUCAAUUUUCUUCAGACUUCAGCCAGAAUUGAAGAUUUUUGAUGAAGAUGACGAAGGAUAAAGAUCAAUUAUCAUUUCAUUGGAACUUCGAAGACAAGAUGGCUUGAAAAAUAUAAUAUAAGUGAAGAUAAAAUUGGUGGUUCGUUAUUGUAUUAUAUUCUGUAUGUUCAAUUUGUCGAAUUGUUGAGCAUAUUCUCUUUCUGUUUUGAAAUUCGAUACAUCGAAUUAGUUACGCUAAAUUUCAUUCUACUGUUGACAUUCGUGACGAUUAGAAUUUCUUCAAGUGUGCUUUAUCUAUUUGGUUGGAAAAAAUUUUCAAUAUGGAUGUCAUGAUAUAUUUUACAUAAAGGAAAAAAAUAUAAAUAAAUAUUUAAAAUAUAAAUAAUAUAAAUAAAUAAAUAUUUUUAUUGUAAAAAAUGAUGAUAUAAAAGGAAAAGAAUGAGGAAUAGAAAGAGGAUGUUAGAGCACGGAUGAGUCGAAGAAGAGUCUGACCACAUAUAGAAGAAAAGAUAUUGGCUAUAUGCAUGAAUACAGUGUGUCUUCUUUGAGACAAGGCAAACAAUCAACGAUGACAAACAAUCAUAAAGGGAAUAAGAAUUCAAUUUUCUUCAGACUUCAGCCAGAAUUGAAGAUUUUUGAUGAAGAUGACGAAGGAUAAAGAUCAAUUAUCAUUUCAUUGGAACUUCGAAGACAAGAUGGCUUGAAAAAUAUGAUAUAAAAGGAAAAGAAUGAGGAAUAGAAAGAGGAUGUUAGAGCACGGAUGAGUCGAAGAAGAGUCUGACCACAUAUAGAAGAAAAGAUAUUGGCUAUAUGCAUGAAUACAGUGUGUCUUCUUUGAGACAAGGCAAACAAUCAACGAUGACAAACAAUCAUAAAGGGAAUAAGAAUUCAAUUUUCUUCAGACUUCAGCCAGAAUUGAAGAUUUUUGAUGAAGAUGACGAAGGAUAAAGAUCAAUUAUCAUUUCAUUGGAACUUCGAAGACAAGAUGGCUUGAAAAAUAUAAUAUAAGUGAAGAUGUAAUCCAUUUUUCACAAAUAUGAUGAGAUUUAUUUUAAAGAAAUAUAAUUAUAAAUUUCUUUUUAUUGACAUAAAAUUGUUAGAUUACAAUCAAUAUAAUAUUUCACGUAUCUUCGUAUAUAUAUAUUUUACGUAUAUGUAUAUUUUGUGUAUACAUAUAUAAAUUUUACGUAUAUAUAUAUUUUAUAUAUAUAUAUAUUUUACGUGUACAUAUAUAUUUUAAAUAUAUAUAUAUAUCUAUAUAUAUGUUUUCAUAAAAUUGGUGGUUCGUUAUUGUAUUAUAUUCUGUAUGUUCAAUUUGUCGAAUUGUUGAGCAUAUUCUCUUUCUGUUUUGAAAUUCGAUACAUCGAAUUAGUUACGCUAAAUUUCAUUCUACUGUUGACAUUCGUGACGAUUAGAAUUUCUUCAAGUGUGCUUUAUCUAUUUGGUUGGAAAAAAUUUUCAAUAUGGAUGUCAUGAUAUAUUUUACAUAAAGGAAAAAAAUAUAAAUAAAUAUUUAAAAUAUAAAUAAUAUAAAUAAAUAAAUAUUUUUAUUGUAAAAAAUGAUGAUAUAAAAGGAAAAGAAUGAGGAAUAGAAAGAGGAUGUUAGAGCACGGAUGAGUCGAAGAAGAGUCUGACCACAUAUAGAAGAAAAGAUAUUGGCUAUAUGCAUGAAUACAGUGUGUCUUCUUUGAGACAAGGCAAACAAUCAACGAUGACAAACAAUCAUAAAGGGAAUAAGAAUUCAAUUUUCUUCAGACUUCAGCCAGAAUUGAAGAUUUUUGAUGAAGAUGACGAAGGAUAAAGAUCAAUUAUCAUUUCAUUGGAACUUCGAAGACAAGAUGGCUUGAAAAAUAAAAUUGGUGGUUCGUUAUUGUAUUAUAUUCUGUAUGUUCAAUUUGUCGAAUUGUUGAGCAUAUUCUCUUUCUGUUUUGAAAUUCGAUACAUCGAAUUAGUUACGCUAAAUUUCAUUCUACUGUUGACAUUCGUGACGAUUAGAAUUUCUUCAAGUGUGCUUUAUCUAUUUGGUUGGAAAAAAUUUUCAAUAUGGAUGUCAUGAUAUAUUUUACAUAAAGGAAAAAAAUUUAAAUAAAUAUUUAAAAUAUAAAUAAUAUAAAUAAAUAAAUAUUUUUAUUGUAAAAAAUGAUGAUAUAAAAGGAAAAGAAUGAGGAAUAGAAAGAGGAUGUUAGAGCACGGAUGAGUCGAAGAAGAGUCUGACCACAUAUAGAAGAAAAGAUAUUGGCUAUAUGCAUGAAUACAGUGUGUCUUCUUUGAGACAAGGCAAACAAUCAACGAUGACAAACAAUCAUAAAGGGAAUAAGAAUUCAAUUUUCUUCAGACUUCAGCCAGAAUUGAAGAUUUUUGAUGAAGAUGACGAAGGAUAAAGAUCAAUUAUCAUUUCAUUGGAACUUCGAAGACAAGAUGGCUUGAAAAAUAAAAUUGGUGGUUCGUUAUUGUAUUAUAUUCUGUAUGUUCAAUUUGUCGAAUUGUUGAGCAUAUUCUCUUUCUGUUUUGAAAUUCGAUACAUCGAAUUAGUUACGCUAAAUUUCAUUCUACUGUUGACAUUCGUGACGAUUAGAAUUUCUUCAAGUGUGCUUUAUCUAUUUGGUUGGAAAAAAUUUUCAAUAUGGAUGUCAUGAUAUAUUUUACAUAAAGGAAAAAAAUAUAAAUAAAUAUUUAAAAUAUAAAUAAUAUAAAUAAAUAAAUAUUUUUAUUGUAAAAAAUGAUGAUAUAAAAGGAAAAGAAUGAGGAAUAGAAAGAGGAUGUUAGAGCACGGAUGAGUCGAAGAAGAGUCUGACCACAUAUAGAAGAAAAGAUAUUGGCUAUAUGCAUGAAUACAGUGUGUCUUCUUUGAGACAAGGCAAACAAUCAACGAUGACAAACAAUCAUAAAGGGAAUAAGAAUUCAAUUUUCUUCAGACUUCAGCCAGAAUUGAAGAUUUUUGAUGAAGAUGACGAAGGAUAAAGAUCAAUUAUCAUUUCAUUGGAACUUCGAAGACAAGAUGGCUUGAAAAAUAUAAUAUAAGUGAAGAUGUAAUCCAUUUUUCACAAAUAUGAUGAGAUUUAUUUUAAAGAAAUAUAAUUAUAAAUUUCUUUUUAUUGACAUAAAAUUGUUAGAUUACAAUCAAUAUAAUAUUUCACGUAUCUUCGUAUAUAUAUAUUUUACGUAUAUGUAUAUUUUGUGUAUACAUAUAUAAAUUUUACGUAUAUAUAUAUUUUAUAUAUAUAUAUAUUUUACGUGUACAUAUAUAUUUUAAAUAUAUAUAUAUAUCUAUAUAUAUGUUUUCAUAAAAUUGGUGGUUCGUUAUUGUAUUAUAUUCUGUAUGUUCAAUUUGUCGAAUUGUUGAGCAUAUUCUCUUUCUGUUUUGAAAUUCGAUACAUCGAAUUAGUUACGCUAAAUUUCAUUCUACUGUUGACAUUCGUGACGAUUAGAAUUUCUUCAAGUGUGCUUUAUCUAUUUGGUUGGAAAAAAUUUUCAAUAUGGAUGUCAUGAUAUAUUUUACAUAAAGGAAAAAAAAUAAAUAAAUAUUU
Long non-coding RNA from Apis cerana (Asiatic honeybee), 4419 nucleotides. RefSeq lists it as uncharacterized. The record is from RefSeq and is a predicted model, not a curated record. Lineage: Eukaryota; Metazoa; Arthropoda; Insecta; Hymenoptera; Apidae.